This 433-nucleotide ribosomal RNA is filed under the name uncultured bacterium. RNAcentral's name for it is "partial 16S ribosomal RNA". It matches the Rfam family "Bacterial small subunit ribosomal RNA", at positions 29 to 507 of the family's 1533-position model. The record is from RNAcentral.
AACGAACGCUGGCGGCAUGCCUAACACAUGCAAGUCGAACGAGACCUUCGGGUCUAGUGGCGCACGGGUGCGUAACGCGUGGGAACCUGCCCUUAGGUUCGGAAUAACUCCCCGAAAGGGGUGCUAAUACCGGAUAAUGUCUUCGGACCAAAGAUUUAUCGCCUUUGGAUGGGCCCGCGUUGGAUUAGCUAGUUGGUAGGGUAAAAGCCUACCAAGGCGACGAUCCAUAGCUGGUCUGAGAGGAUGAUCAGCCACACUGGGACUGAGACACGGCCCAGACUCCUACGGGAGGCAGCAGUGGGGAAUAUUGGACAAUGGGCGAAAGCCUGAUCCAGCAAUGCCGCGUGAGUGAUGAAGGCCUGAGGGUUGUAAAGCUCUUUUACCCGGGAUGAUAAUGACAGUACCUGGAGAAUAAGCUCCGGCUAACUCCGUG